Molecule: ribosomal RNA, 2185 nt
Filed under: Salmonella enterica
Lineage: Bacteria; Pseudomonadati; Pseudomonadota; Gammaproteobacteria; Enterobacterales; Enterobacteriaceae
Description: partial 23S ribosomal RNA
Rfam family: Bacterial large subunit ribosomal RNA
Source: RNAcentral
GGGUUGUGAGGUUAAGCGACUAAGCGUACACGGUGGAUGCCCUGGCAGUCAGAGGCGAUGAAGGGCGUGCUAAUCUGCGAUAAGCGCCGGUAAGGUGAUAUGAACCGUUAUAACCGGCGAUACCCGAAUGGGGAAACCCAGUGUGACUCGUCACACUAUCAUUAACUGAAUCCAUAGGUUAAUGAGGCGAACCGGGGGAACUGAAACAUCUAAGUACCCCGAGGAAAAGAAAUCAACCGAGAUUCCCCCAGUAGCGGCGAGCGAACGGGGAGGAGCCCAGAGCCUGAAUCAGCAUGUGUGUUAGUGGAAGCGUCUGGAAAGGCGCGCGAUACAGGGUGACAGCCCCGUACACAAAAGCGCAUGUGCUGUGAGCUCGAUGAGUAGGGCGGGACACGUGGUAUCCUGUCUGAAUAUGGGGGGACCAUCCUCCAAGGCUAAAUACUCCUGACUGACCGAUAGUGAACCAGUACCGUGAGGGAAAGGCGAAAAGAACCCCGGCGAGGGGAGUGAAAAAGAACCUGAAACCGUGUACGUACAAGCAGUGGGAGCACAGGUUUACCUGUGUGACUGCGUACCUUUUGUAUAAUGGGUCAGCGACUUAUAUUCUGUAGCAAGGUUAACCGUAUAGGGGAGCCGUAGGGAAACCGAGUCUUAACCGGGCGUUAAGUUGCAGGGUAUAGACCCGAAACCCGGUGAUCUAGCCAUGGGCAGGUUGAAGGUUGGGUAACACUAACUGGAGGACCGAACCGACUAAUGUUGAAAAAUUAGCGGAUGACCUGUGGCUGGGGGUGAAAGGCCAAUCAAACCGGGAGAUAGCUGGUUCUCCCCGAAAGCUAUUUAGGUAGCGCCUCGUGAAUUCAUCUCCGGGGGUAGAGCACUGUUUCGGCUAGGGGGCCAUCCCGGCUUACCAACCCGAUGCAAACUGCGAAUACCGGAGAAUGUUAUCACGGGAGACACACGGCGGGUGCUAACGUCCGUCGUGAAGAGGGAAACAACCCAGACCGCCAGCUAAGGUCCCAAAGUCAUGGUUAAGUGGGAAACGAUGUGGGAAGGCCCAGACAGCCAGGAUGUUGGCUUAGAAGCAGCCAUCAUUUAAAGAAAGCGUAAUAGCUCACUGGUCGAGUCGGCCUGCGCGGAAGAUGUAACGGGGCUAAACCAUGCACCGAAGCUGCGGCAGCGACGCUGAUGCGUUGUUGGGUAGGGGAGCGUUCUGUAAGCCUGUGAAGGUGGCCUGUGAGGGUUGCUGGAGGUAUCAGAAGUGCGAAUGCUGACAUAAGUAACGAUAAAGCGGGUGAAAAGCCCGCUCGCCGGAAGACCAAGGGUUCCUGUCCAACGUUAAUCGGGGCAGGGUGAGUCGACCCCUAAGGCGAGGCCGAAAGGCGUAGUCGAUGGGAAACGGGUUAAUAUUCCCGUACUUGGUGUUACUGCGAAGGGGGGACGGAGAAGGCUAUGUUGGCCGGGCGACGGUUGUCCCGGUUUAAGCGUGUAGGUGUGUGUUCCAGGUAAAUCCGGUUCACUUUAACACUGAGGCGUGAUGACGAGGCACUACGGUGCUGAAGCAACAAAUGCCCUGCUUCCAGGAAAAGCCUCUAAGCAUCAGGUAACAUCAAAUCGUACCCCAAACCGACACAGGUGGUCAGGUAGAGAAUACCAAGGCGCUUGAGAGAACUCGGGUGAAGGAACUAGGCAAAAUGGUGCCGUAACUUCGGGAGAAGGCACGCUGACACGUAGGUGAAGUGAUUUACUCAUGGAGCUGAAGUCAGUCGAAGAUACCAGCUGGCUGCAACUGUUUAUUAAAAACACAGCACUGUGCAAACACGAAAGUGGACGUAUACGGUGUGACGCCUGCCCGGUGCCGGAAGGUUAAUUGAUGGGGUCAGCGCAAGCGAAGCUCCUGAUCGAAGCCCCGGUAAACGGCGGCCGUAACUAUAACGGUCCUAAGGUAGCGAAAUUCCUUGUCGGGUAAGUUCCGACCUGCACGAAUGGCGUAAUGAUGGCCAGGCUGUCUCCACCCGAGACUCAGUGAAAUUGAACUCGCUGUGAAGAUGCAGUGUACCCGCGGCAAGACGGAAAGACCCCGUGAACCUUUACUAUAGCUUGACACUGAACAUUGAGCCUUGAUGUGUAGGAUAGGUGGGAGGCUUUGAAGCGUGGACGCCAGUCUGCAUGGAGCCGGCCUUGAAAU